This 236-nucleotide ribosomal RNA is filed under the name uncultured bacterium. Its description in RNAcentral is "partial 16S ribosomal RNA". It matches the Rfam family "Bacterial small subunit ribosomal RNA", at positions 1266 to 1500 of the family's 1533-position model. The record is from RNAcentral.
GGCAGACCACAAAAAAGGACGUCCCAGUUCGGAUUACAGCCUGCAACCCGGCUGUAUGAAGCUGGAAUCGCUAGUAAUCGCAGAUCAGAAUGCUGCGGUGGAUACGUUCCCGGGUCUUGUACACACCGCCCGUCACACCAUGGGAGCCAGGAAUGCCCGAAGCCAGUGGCCUAACCGCAAGGGAGGAGCUGUCGAAGGCAGGCCCGGUAACUGGGGUGAAGUCGUAACAAGGUAAC